AUGAGUCGACCUGAUGGGAUCAACAUCCCCGGCGGCAAGUUCUACCUUGGAGAUGCUGGCUAUGCAUGUCGGCCGGGUAUUCUUCCACCCUUCAGGAAAACAAGGUACCAUCUCAACGAGUUCUCUGGUAGGAACUUUCCUAGGACUGCACAGGAGCUAAAUCUCAGACACUUCAGCCUUAGAGUAACUGUUGAGAGGGCAUUUGGAGCUCUGAAGAAUAGGUUUAAGAUCCUGGAUCAGAAGCCAUUCCACCCAUACUCCACUCAAGUUAAGCUAGUUCUUGCUUGUUGCAUUCUACAUAACUGGAUCCUCCAGUGGGGCUUUGAUGAACACGUGCCUGAGGAGGAAGAGGUCGAGCCUGACAAUGUUUUCAGCUCUAGUCAUGGUGUGGAGGCAUUUGACAAUGACGCUUGGAAGAACAAAAGGUUGGAGUGGGCAGAGACAAUGUGGCUUAACAGAGGUCAGUGCAGGAUUUGA
This 477-nucleotide ribosomal RNA is filed under the name Triticum aestivum (bread wheat). RNAcentral describes it as "partial small subunit ribosomal RNA". The record is from RNAcentral. Lineage: Eukaryota; Viridiplantae; Streptophyta; Magnoliopsida; Poales; Poaceae.